CCUUUGACGUUAGCGGCGGACGGGUGAGUAACACGUGGGUAACCUACCUAUAAGACUGGGAUAAACUUCGGGGAAACCGGAGCUAAUACCGGAUUAAUAUUUCGAACCGCAUGGUUCGAUAGUGAAAGGUGGUUUUGCUAUCACUUAUAGAUGGACCCGCGCCGUAUUAGCUAGUUGGUAAGGUAACGGCUUACCAAGGCGACGAUACGUAGCCGACCUGAGAGGGUGAUCGGCCACACUGGAACUGAGACACGGUCCAGACUCCUACGGGGAGGCAGCAGCC
This 283-nucleotide ribosomal RNA is filed under the name uncultured Staphylococcus sp. Its description in RNAcentral is "partial 16S ribosomal RNA". It matches the Rfam family "Bacterial small subunit ribosomal RNA", at positions 83 to 355 of the family's 1533-position model. The record is from RNAcentral. Lineage: Bacteria; Bacillati; Bacillota; Bacilli; Caryophanales; Staphylococcaceae.